CAGAAACAUGCAGGUAGGAAUUGGGGCUACUGGAGAUCCGGCGGGGAGGAGCGUCCUGAGGAAGCUCUGGAGCGAAACACAAGUGACACUGAACUGCAGAGUCUGGAACGUAAAGAUCAUGCAUUUUGAGAAGCACAGCUGGGUACCAUGUUGCCAAGGUUACAUCAGGAGGGCCACUGCUGCUGUGUUUGUGAUGGUGAAAUCACAACCCACCCAGGAGCCAUAUGGAAACUCUGCCUUGGACGCCCCCGGGGGAAUAGUACGCAGCCGUUAACGGCAACAAGGAGA
Molecule: long non-coding RNA, 288 nt
Organism: Balaenoptera musculus (blue whale)
Lineage: Eukaryota; Metazoa; Chordata; Mammalia; Artiodactyla; Balaenopteridae
Exons: 3
Source: RefSeq, a predicted model, not a curated record